Molecule: non-coding RNA, 99 nt
Organism: Ciborinia camelliae
Lineage: Eukaryota; Fungi; Ascomycota; Leotiomycetes; Helotiales; Sclerotiniaceae
Source: the annotation of a GenBank genome assembly
GGUGGUGUGGUGUAAUGGUAGCACGUGACGUUGUGGUGUAUUCUCAUUGAAUAUCUACGCUUGUCCGUUUCAAUCUGGGUUCGAUUCCCAGCACCGCCA